This is a long non-coding RNA of Oncorhynchus keta (chum salmon), 3403 nucleotides long. RefSeq lists it as uncharacterized. Lineage: Eukaryota; Metazoa; Chordata; Actinopteri; Salmoniformes; Salmonidae. The transcript is spliced from 6 exons. The record is from RefSeq and is a predicted model, not a curated record.
GUAGCUAACCUAUGGAAUGACACCUGAGGUAACAGACAGACAGCUAACCUAUGGAAUGACACCUGAGGUAACAGACAGGUAGCUAACCUAUGGAAUGACACCUGAGGUAACAGACAGACAGCUAACCUAUGGAAUGACACCUGAGGUAACAGACAGGUAGCUAACCUAUGGAAUGACACCUGAGGUAACAGACAGACAGCUAACCUAUGGAAUGACACCUGAGGUAACAGACAGACAGCUAACCUAUGGAAUGACACCUGAGGUAACAGACAGACAGCUAACCUAUGGAAUGACACCUGAGGUAACAGACAGGUAGCUAACCUAUGGAAUGACACCUGAGGUAACAGACAGACAGCUAACCUAUGGAAUGACACCUGAGGUAACAGACAGGUAGCUAACCUAUGGAAUGACACCUGAGGUAACAGACAGACAGCUAACCUAUGGAAUGACACCUGAGGUAACAGACAGACAGCUAACCUAUGGAAUGACACCUGAGGUAACAGACAGACAGCUAACCUAUGGAAUGACACCUGAGGUAACAGACAGGUAGCUAACCUAUGGAAUGACACCUGAGGUAACAGACAGACAGCUAACCUAUGGAAUGACACCUGAGGUAACAGACAGGUAGCUAACCUAUGGAAUGACACCUGAGGUAACAGACAGACAGCUAACCUAUGGAAUGACACCUGAGGUAACAGACAGGUAGCUAACCUAUGGAAUGACACCUGAGGUAACAGACAGACAGCUAACCUAUGGAAUGACACCUGAGGUAACAGACAGGUAGCUAACCUAUGGAAUGACACCUGAGGUAACAGACAGACAGCUAACCUAUGGAAUGACACCUGAGGUAACAGACAGGUAGCUAACCUAUGGAAUGACACCUGAGGUAACAGACAGACAGCUAACCUAUGGAAUGACACCUGAGGUAACAGACAGGUAGCUAACCUAUGGAAUGACACCUGAGGUAACAGACAGACAGCUAACCUAUGGAAUGACACCUAGUUUGUACAGGAGAUAAAGGUAUCUGAGGUAACAGACAGGUAGCUAAACUAUGGAAUGACUGCUGGAUGACUAUCAAGCCUCGCCUCAUUGCUCUGAGUGAUGGGGAGCUGACAGAACCCUGCUGUGUGACCCUCUGAUCUACAGAUCCCAGUCUCCUGAUCCCUCCUGGAAUUACUCAGGGAAUUGUAUGUGUGUGAGAGUGUGUGUGUGUGUGUGUGUAUGUGUGUGUGUGUGUCUGUCUGUGUGUGUGUGACACAAGGAUCCCUCCUGUCAUUACUCAAGGGAGAGGGGGAGACUGGUGUCCCGCAGGGCGCUGUGGUGCUCCGCUCCUCUCUGCUCCGCUCGCUGUCCUCUGAAGGUCAGCGUUUAAAACAGCAGCAGCAGCCCCAUUUGUCUGUCUGUCCGGGAUGGGGAUGAGGAGAGGGAGGGAGCCAUAUCUCUGUGAACCUGCUGACUGAACAGGCUCCUCACCGUACACUGCUCUUAUCUCCUCCUCCAGAAGCACAGCAGCCUGAUAUGGCCUUGUGUUCCACUCCUUUCCUCCUCCUCUCAUCCCAGCUACACUAACGUCCCUCCAACACUGACCUUCGUCAAUGAUGAAGAGUGCUGGAUAUAAGCCAAGUGCACCCACGUGUGUGUGUGUGUGUGUGUUUGUAUGUGUGUGUCUGGACAGGUAUUGCCACUGUGUAGUAUAGCAACUGUGUAGUAUAGCCACUGUGUAGUGUUGCCACAGUGUAGUAUAGUCAUUGUAUAGUGUUGCCACUGUGUAGUAUAGUCACUGUGUAGUAUAGUCAUUGUGUAGUAUAGUCACUGUGUAGUAUAGCAUAGCCACUGUGUAGUAUAGUCACUGUGCGGUAUAGUCACUGUGUAGUAUAGCCACGGUGUAGUAUUGCCACUGUGUAGUAUUGUCACUGUGUAGUAUAGUCACUGUGUAGUGUUGCCACAGUGUAGUAUAGCCACUGUGUAGUAUAGUCACUGUGUAGUAUAGUCACUGUGUAUAGUGUUGCCACGGUGUAGUAUUGCCACUGUGUAGUAUAGUCAUUGUGUAGUAUAGUCACUGUGUAGUAUAGCCACGGUGUAGUAUUGCCACUGUGUAGUAUAGUAAUUGUGUAGUAUAGUCACUGUGUAGUAUAGUCACUGUGUAGUGUUGCCACUGUGUAGUAUAGUCACUGUGUAGUAUAGCCACUGUUUAGUAUAGCCACUGUGUAUUAUAGCCACUGUGUAGUAUAGUCACUGUGUAGUAUAGCCACUGUGUAGUAUAGCCACUGUGUAGUAUAGUCACUGUGUAGUGUUGCCACUGUGCAGUAUAGCCACGGUGUAGUAUAGCUACUGUGUAGUAUAGCUACUGUGUAGUAUAGCCACUGUGUCGUAUAGUCACUGUGUAGUAUAGCCACUGUGUAGUAUAGCUACUGUGUAGUAGUGCUACUGUGUAGUAUAGUCACUGUGUAGUGUUGCCACUGUGCCGUAUAGUCACUGUGUAGUAUAGCCACUGUGUAGUAUAGCAUAGCCACUGUGUAGUAUAGUCACUGUGCGGUAUAGUCACUGUGCAGUAUAGCCACUGUGUAGUAUAGUCACUGUGUAGUAUAGUCACUGUGUAGUGUUGCCACAGUGUAGUAUAGUCAUUGUAUAGUGUUGCCACUGUGUAGUAUAGUCACUGUGUAGUAUAGUCAUUGUGUAGUAUAGUCACUGUGUAGUGUUGCCACAGUGUAGUAUAGUCACUGUGUAGUAUAGUCACUAUGUAGUAUAGUCACUGUGUAGUAUAGUCACUGUGUAGUGUUGCCACGGUGUAGUAUUGCCACUGUGUAGUAUAGUCAUUGUGUAGUAUAGUCAUUGUGUAGUAUAGUCACUGUGUAGUAUUGCCACUGUGUAGUAUAGCCACGGUGUAGUAUAGUCACUGUACUGUUAUGCAAUAACUAUAUCUGUGGCCUUUAAAGUCUAAUCUGACUAGCAAUCUCAGCAAUUAUGAAACUGUAGUCUGAUAGAAUGCAGGAUUUCUUCACAAAUGGUAUACAUACUGUAUAAAGUCAUUGUCUGAUGAAAACCUUGUAACUACAUGUUUUGCCAAUUUAAAUUGUUUUACAUUUAUUGAAAGUGGUAUCUAACGUCAAUGUACUCUGAACAUUUCAUGUCUUUAGAAUCAAGAACAUUCAAAAUAGCUUCUAAAUUGUCAUAAUUCUAUAUUCGUUGAUGGAAAACAUGUUUUUUUCUUGUAUUUUCUCUUUGAAAAGUUGAUGUUUUGGCGAUUGAAUGUUUGGGUCAGACUGUGAUGAUAUGAGCUGCAGUAGCAGCAGAGCAUCCUGGUUAAAAACCACCUGAUGAAGCUAACACUCUGUUUCACUUCACAAGGAAUAGUAAAGAUGAGCGCAGCGGUCAGUCUGCUUUCACCCAGCUAGGAGCAGAG